AUACGGAGGGUGCAAGCGUUAAUCGGAAUUACUGGGCGUAAAGAGUACGUAGGUGGUUUAUUAAGUCAGAUGUGAAAGCCCCGGGCUCAACCUGGGAACUGCAUUUGAAACUGAUAAGCUAGAGUAUGGUAGAGGGGGGUAGAAUUUCUAGUGUAGCGGUGAAAUGCGUAGAUAUUAGAAGGAAUACCAGUGGCGAAGGCGGCCCCCUGGACCAAUACUGACACUGAGGUACGAAAGCGUGGGGAGCGAACAGGAUUAGAAACCCUAGUAGUCC
This 274-nucleotide ribosomal RNA is filed under the name uncultured bacterium. RNAcentral's name for it is "partial 16S ribosomal RNA". It matches the Rfam family "Bacterial small subunit ribosomal RNA", at positions 523 to 796 of the family's 1533-position model. The record is from RNAcentral.